This 73-nucleotide transfer RNA is filed under the name uncultured Mycobacterium sp. It matches the Rfam family "tRNA". From Rfam's summary of the family: Transfer RNA (tRNA) molecules are approximately 80 nucleotides in length. Their secondary structure includes four short double-helical elements and three loops (D, anti-codon, and T loops). Lineage: Bacteria; Bacillati; Actinomycetota; Actinomycetes; Mycobacteriales; Mycobacteriaceae. The record is from RNAcentral.
GCCGCGUUAGCUCAGUUGGUAGAGCAUCGCUCUUGUAAAGCGAAUGUCGAGAGUUCGAUUCUCUCACGCGGCU